AGUGAACGCUGGCGGUAGGCCUAACACAUGCAAGUCGAACGGCAGCACAGUAAGAGCUUGCUCUUACGGGUGGCGAGUGGCGGACGGGUGAGGAAUACAUCGGAAUCUACUUUUUCGUGGGGGAUAACGUAGGGAAACUUACGCUAAUACCGCAUACGACCUACGGGUGAAAGCAGGGGAUCUUCGGACCUUGCGCGAUUGAAUGAGCCGAUGUCGGAUUAGCUAGUUGGCGGGGUAAAGGCCCACCAAGGCGACGAUCCGUAGCUGGUCUGACAGGAUGAUCAGCCACACUGGAACUGAGACACGGUCCAGACUCCUACAGGAGGCAGCAGUGGGGAAUAUUGGACGAUGGGCGCAAGCCUGAUACAGCCAUACCGCGUGGGUGAAGAAGGCCUUCGGGUUGUAGAGCCCUUUUGUUGGGAAAGAAGAGCAGCAGGUUAAUACCCCGCUGUUCUGACGGUACCCAAAGAAUAAGCACCGGCUAACUUCGUG
This 492-nucleotide ribosomal RNA is filed under the name uncultured bacterium. RNAcentral describes it as "partial 16S ribosomal RNA". It matches the Rfam family "Bacterial small subunit ribosomal RNA", at positions 29 to 507 of the family's 1533-position model. The record is from RNAcentral.